GAUGAACGCUGGCGGCGUGCCUAAUACAUGCAAGUCGAGCGAACGGACGAGAAGCUUGCUUUUCUGAUGUUAGCGGCGGACGGGUGAGUAACACGUGGAUAACCUACCUAUAAGACUGUGAUAACUUCGGGAAACCGGAGCUAAUACCGGAUAAUAUUUUGAACCGCAUGGUUCAAAAGUGAAAGACGGUCUUGCUGUCACUUAUAGAUGGAUCCGCGCUGCAUUAGCUAGUUGGUAAGGUAACGGCUUACCAAGGCAACGAUGCAUAGCCGACCUGAGAGGGUGAUCGGCCACACUGGAACUGAGACACGGUCCAGACUCCUACGGGAGGCAGCAGUAGGGAAUCUUCCGCAAUGGGCGAAAGCCUGACGGAGCAACGCCGCGUGAGUGAUGAAGGUCUUCGGAUCGUAAAACUCUGUUAUUAGGGAAGAACAUAUGUGUAAGUAACUGUGCACAUCUUGACGGUACCUAAUCAGAAAGCCACGGCUAACUACGUG
RNAcentral lists this ribosomal RNA (497 nucleotides) under uncultured bacterium. Its description in RNAcentral is "partial 16S ribosomal RNA". It matches the Rfam family "Bacterial small subunit ribosomal RNA", at positions 28 to 507 of the family's 1533-position model. The record is from RNAcentral.